Molecule: non-coding RNA, 253 nt
Filed under: uncultured bacterium
Lineage: Bacteria
Also listed under: 1 other name
Description: partial 16S ribosomal RNA
Rfam family: Bacterial small subunit ribosomal RNA
Source: RNAcentral
UACAGAGGUCCCAAGCGUUGUUCGGAUUCAUUGGGCGUAAAGGGUGCGUAGGCGGUGAGGUAAGUCUGGUGUGAAAUCCCGGGGCUCAACCCCGGAACUGCACUGGAUACUGCUUUACUAGAGUACUGGAGAGGGAACUGGAAUUUACGGUGUAGCAGUGAAAUGCGUAGAUAUCGUAAGGAAGACCAGUGGCGAAGGCGAGUUCCUGGACAGUUACUGACGCUGAGGCACGAAGGCCAGGGGAGCAAACGGG